GGCUCGGUGGUCUAGGUGUAUGAUUCUCGCUUAGGGUGCGAGAGGUCCGGGUUCAAAUCCCGGCCGAGCCC
This 71-nucleotide transfer RNA is filed under the name Caerostris extrusa. Its description in RNAcentral is "tRNA-Pro". It matches the Rfam family "tRNA". From Rfam's summary of the family: Transfer RNA (tRNA) molecules are approximately 80 nucleotides in length. Their secondary structure includes four short double-helical elements and three loops (D, anti-codon, and T loops). Further hydrogen bonds mediate the characteristic L-shaped molecular structure. tRNAs have two regions of fundamental functional importance: the anti-codon, which is responsible for specific mRNA codon recognition, and the 3' end, to which the tRNAs corresponding amino acid is attached (by aminoacyl-tRNA synthetases). tRNAs cope with the degeneracy of the genetic code in two manners: having more than one tRNA (with a specific anti-codon) for a particular amino acid; and 'wobble' base-pairing, i.e. permitting non-standard base-pairing at the 3rd anti-codon position. The record is from RNAcentral. Lineage: Eukaryota; Metazoa; Arthropoda; Arachnida; Araneae; Araneidae.